UACGUAGGGUGCAAGCGUUAAUCGGAAUUACUGGGCGUAAAGCGUGCGCAGGCGGUUAUGUAAGACAGAUGUGAAAUCCCCGGGCUCAACCUGGGAACUGCAUUUGUGACUGCAUAGCUAGAGUACGGUAGAGGGGGGUAGAAUUCCACGUGUAGCAGUGAAAUGCGUAGAGAUGUGGAGGAAUACCGAUGGCGAAGGCAGCCCCCUGGGCCAAUACUGACGCUCAUGCACGAAAGCGUGGGGAGCGAACAGG
Molecule: ribosomal RNA, 253 nt
Filed under: uncultured bacterium
Lineage: Bacteria
Description: partial 16S ribosomal RNA
Rfam family: Bacterial small subunit ribosomal RNA
Source: RNAcentral